RNAcentral lists this ribosomal RNA (790 nucleotides) under uncultured bacterium. Its description in RNAcentral is "bacterial SSU rRNA". It matches the Rfam family "Bacterial small subunit ribosomal RNA", at positions 8 to 796 of the family's 1533-position model. The record is from RNAcentral.
AGAGUUUGAUCAUGGCUCAGGAUGAACGCUAGCGGCAGGCCUAAUACAUGCAAGUCGAACGGAUAUGAGGACUUCGGUUCUCAUGUUAGUGGCGCACGGGUGCGUAACGCGUAUGCAACCUACCUUUUACUGGGGGAUAGCCCGGAGAAAUCCGGAUUAAUACCGCAUAAUAUCAUUUGAGGGCAUCCGAAGAUGAUUAAAGAUUUAUUGGUAAAAGAUGGGCAUGCGUGCCAUUAGCUAGUUGGUGGUGUAACGGACCACCAAGGCGACGAUGGCUAGGGGUUCUGAGAGGAUGAUCCCCCACACUGGUACUGAGAUACGGACCAGACUCCUACGGGAGGCAGCAGUAGGGAAUAUUGGGCAAUGGACGCAAGUCUGACCCAGCCAUGCCGCGUGCAGGAUGAAGGCCUUCUGGGUUGUAAACUGCUUUUAUCUAGGAAGAAAAAACCCUUGCGAGGGGAACUGACGGUACUAGGUGAAUAAGCACCGGCUAACUCCGUGCCAGCAGCCGCGGUAAUACGGAGGGUGCAAGCGUUGUCCGGAUUUAUUGGGUUUAAAGGGUGCGUAGGCGGCCCGUUAAGUCCGUGGUGAAAGCCAACAGCUCAACUGUUGAACUGCCAUGGAUACUGACGGGCUUGAGUACAGACGAGGUAGGCGGAAUGGAUGGUGUAGCGGUGAAAUGCAUAGAUACCAUCCAGAACACCGAUUGCGUAGGCAGCUUACUAGGCUGUAACUGACGCUGAGGCACGAAAGCGUGGGGAGCGAACAGGAUUAGAUACCCUAGUAGUCC